UAUGCAAAUUAAAACAAAGCGUGGAUCUCU
This 30-nucleotide non-coding RNA is filed under the name Rattus norvegicus (Norway rat). Lineage: Eukaryota; Metazoa; Chordata; Mammalia; Rodentia; Muridae. The record is from RNAcentral.